UGCCAGCCGCCGCGGUAAUACGGAAGGUCCUAGCGUUGUUCGGAAUUACUGGGCGUAAAGCGCAUGUAGGCGGAACAGAAAGUUAGAAGUGAAAUCCCUGGGCUCAACCUAGGAAUUGCUUUUAAGACUUCUGUUCUGGAAUUAAGGAGAGGAAAAUGGAAUAUCCAGUGUAGAGGUGAAAUUCGUAGAUAUUGGAUGGAACACCAGUGGCGAAGGCGGCUUACUGGCUCGAUACUGACGCUGAGGUGCGAAAGUGUGGGGAGCGAACAGGAUUAGAUA
Molecule: ribosomal RNA, 279 nt
Filed under: uncultured bacterium
Lineage: Bacteria
Description: partial 16S ribosomal RNA
Rfam family: Bacterial small subunit ribosomal RNA
Source: RNAcentral